GAGCCGUUAACGGCCGCACAGGUCGCGCGGCGGCGUUUCGGGCUCGAGUGCGGGGCGGGCCGCUCGCUCGCACCUGCGGCGCUGCCCCAGCUCGAUGCGGCGUUGGGCGCGCGAGGAGGGAAGGGGGUGACGGAGAGGGGACGGAGGGGUGUUCGCCUCUCCCCCCCCCAGCCGCUCGCCCGGCGUGCGACUCCUUGCGGGGAGCACUGUCAGCGUCCCCGAGGCUUUGCUCCUGACAGACCGUGCCCAUCUCCCCACAAACCGUCUUUGCCUGGCAGACCUCGAGCUCCUGGAGACGAGCGUCGGCCGUUGUCGUAACCGACUGCCUGUGCCGGGCUGGAGCCCGUGGGGCUGGGUCACACCUCCCCCAAGGCCUUCGGCGGCUUGACCGGUACAAUCAUCUCCCAUGCGGAUGGAGGUCAGAGAGCCCUUUAAAACCUAGCUGGGCAUUGCUAAAACUGAAGCUUGUGGCCAGGAUUGUGAUCUGAGACUCCUGAAUACCAGUAAAUGACCUACAGUAUCUCUUCACACAAAAGAGCAUCAGGUGUUGGCUUGACAAUAACAAAGCAAGAAGACAGUGUUCCUUAUGCUUACAUAAACAAUAUAAAGUAUCCACUUGCGCUGCAGCACCCUGGGGCACAUCCUCUCACAACUGGAUCAGAGAUACUGAAUGCCAAUGGGUGGAGUAAUACACUGAGCCUUGAAGAAUGCUGCUAGCAGUGUUUUCGGAGUUUGAGAAAUGCCGAGAGUUAUCACCUCCUCCUCACGGUCUGUGCUAAGAGCAGGGGUAUUGCAGUUUACCAUUAUGGUAAACAUUCUUGGGAGAAGGACAAUCGUGUCCGGUGAUCAAAUAUACACAGAUGCCACAAAAAGCAUUUGUAAACUUAGAAAUAAAGAGUAGUCCGACUUUAGUCUCUAGUCCAGCUUCCCACAAAGCAGGCUUAUUGUUAGCACAGAUUAGGUCUGCUGUGGCUUCAUGUAAACAAAUGUAAUUGUGUAGUAAUGUGGAAUAUCUAAACUUGGCAUAGUGUGAGUGUAUGGGUACAUUAAAAUACUGCUAACCAUAA
This is a long non-coding RNA of Rhea pennata, 1067 nucleotides long. RefSeq lists it as uncharacterized. The transcript is spliced from 3 exons. The record is from RefSeq and is a predicted model, not a curated record. NCBI's taxonomy places the organism in Eukaryota, Metazoa, Chordata, Aves, Rheiformes, Rheidae.